Molecule: ribosomal RNA, 467 nt
Filed under: uncultured bacterium
Lineage: Bacteria
Description: partial 16S ribosomal RNA
Rfam family: Bacterial small subunit ribosomal RNA
Source: RNAcentral
GACGAACGCUGGCGGCGUGCUCAACACAUGCAAGUCGAACGGAAAGGCCCUGCUUUUGUGGGGUGCUCGAGUGGCGAACGGGUGAGUAACACGUGAGUAACCUGCCCUUGACUUUGGGAUAACUUCAGGAAACUGGGGCUAAUACCGGAUAGGAGCUCCGCUGCAUGGUGGGGGUUGGAAAGUUUCGGCGGUUGGGGAUGGACUCGCGGCUUAUCAGCUUGUUGGUGGGGUAGUGGCUUACCAAGGCUUUGACGGGUAGCCGGCCUGAGAGGGUGACCGGCCACAUUGGGACUGAGAUACGGCCCAGACUCCUACGGGAGGCAGCAGUGGGGAAUAUUGCACAAUGGGCGGUAGCCUGAUGCAGCAACGCCGCGUGCGGGAUGACGGCCUUCGGGUUGUAAACCGCUUUCGCCUGUGACGAAGCGUGAGUGACGGUAAUGGGUAAAGAAGCACCGGCUAACUACGUG